Molecule: long non-coding RNA, 2670 nt
Filed under: Eutrema salsugineum
Lineage: Eukaryota; Viridiplantae; Streptophyta; Magnoliopsida; Brassicales; Brassicaceae
Description: long non-coding RNA (ESAL_LNC000196)
Source: RNAcentral
UCAAUCCAAACUUCCAAACAUGCAUAAACCAUAACAAAGAUCAAACAAACAUGUCUUUGAAUGAUAUGGGAGUUUUAUAAAAAAAAAAGUACUAAGGCAAAGAAACAAACAUGUAUUUGACUCGCAUCAUGCCAAAGUCCAAACUUCAAACAAUGCAUCUGAUACCUAAACCCAAAAAAAAAAACAAACCAAAUUAUGUAUAUUUAGAGACAAAGAAUGAAACAAACAAUGAUUCAUAUAUUACUUACAUAAAGCUGAGAUUUAAAGUUGAGAAGAUGAGAAUCAUUCAGCUUGAUUGGUUGGAUAUCAGAUUCUGUACAUGUAAAUAAUGGGAAAAAGUAUACUCGUCAAACAUUUCACGCAAAGCUCUGAAGAGUGUGUUUGAUUGGAUUGAGAGGAUUGCGUCUGAGUGUUUGGCAGUUUUUGAGUAUAUCUAACAGUAUACUCGUCAAACAUUGCACGCAGAGCAAUAACAGUUAACUGAUGCAGCUCUUGUGCUUUUUUUACCAUAUAACCUCUCAAAACACAUAUCAGCCAAAUCCAUCUUCUUCCUAGGAUCAAAUACUGAAGCUAUAAUCAAAAUCUUAUUAAAAUCUUUCAUACCAUCCCAAUACUUAUCAAACUUCAUGAACAUCCCAUUAGCCUUACUCUUCAACUCUAAGUCUGAACUACUUCUGAGGUUCAUUAGAGCUUUCUCUAUUGUCACUAUAUCCCCAUAACACUUGUACACAUUAACAGUUGAAGAUGCGGAGACAACCAAAGUUGAGUCAUAGAAUAUCACCAAGAAGCGUACUAACCUCUAAAUAGCUUCCCAAUCAUUUUCCAUAACAGGACCAAUCCUUUUUAUCCCAUUCUCGAUCUCAGCAAAGUAACCAAGGUAUAAUCUGUCCUCUUUCUCCAUCUUGUUGAAAGUUGCUCUGUAUUUAAGAGCCUUAAAUAGCAUGGUGUAAUUUGAAUUCCAUCUGGUUUUCACAUCCAAAGGUAGACUUGUUUUUUCAGCUUACCUGAAUCAACUCUCAGUUCAAAUGAACUUUGCAUUACAAAUGGCAGCCCCACUAGCAUCUAUUUUAGUUAACCCAUCUUUCAAAAUCAAGUUUAUGAUGUGAUCACAACAUCUAACAUGCAUAUAAUCCCCACUUAACACAAACGUUUCAGAAAUUUAACAGCCCAAACUCAGAGUGAUAUCUCCUAAGUGCAGAAGAAUUAGUCGUUGCAUUGUCAAAAGUUACCGAAAAAAUUGUCUCUAAACCCCACUCAGCUAAGAAAUCCAAAAGUACAUUAGAGAUUGUCAAACCUUUGUGAUAUGUGAUGUGCUUGAACCCAAUGAUGAACUUCCUAAGCCUCCAAAAUACAUCAACAAAGUAUGAUGUGACCGCCAUAUAACUCGCACCUGUACAAGGGACAUUUAGAAACUAAACAAAAUGACACAAAGGAAACAUUUUUUUUUUUUAAAAAAACACAAACCCGAUUACCUGUAGGCUGAGCUACACAUAUGCCCGUUAUUAGUGAAAUUCGUUGUUUGUUAUUCUAUGAAGAACUGCUUGAGAGAUCUCUUCUUAGCCACACACAUCUGAACAAUGUGCUUUGUUGCUGUUAUUCUUGAUCAAGGCUUGUAUAGUUGAACCUCCUCAUUCAACAAAAAAAAGUGGCAACUCUCCAAUCACAAGCAUCUCAUUAGUCGCCUCGUGGAAAACAUCCUCAAGAACUUUGGCAAUGCUCAGACCACCACUCAGAUUUAUCACGGACUGACUCUUACCUUGGGUCGGACUAUGAUCGUCUCUCCAUACCUUAAAAUGCUUGCAGAUUCCUAGAUGGUUUUUCAGAUUCGAAGUCCUGGAUGAUGUUGCGCAUGAAUAUAUAGAGCUUCUGGUAGUAGGUGCACUUGCAUUUAUCACGAUUUUCCUUUAUUCUUUUGAAAUGCUUCCAGACGUCAGACCUUGUGUCAAAAAGUUUUUUUGGUUUUGGUUGCUCAUAACUAAUACCUUCAUGAGCUUCCUUUCGCUUAUCACGACUAGCAGUAGUCCUAAUGUCUUAUUCUUCACAACGGUUUUCUGUGUUAGUGUUCUCCGGAGUUGGUUCAUAUGAGGAAUACAUCUGCACAACCAAGAGAAAUGAGGAUAUGAGAGUUUCAUUCAUCAGACAAGAAGUAGACAACAGCGGAAGAAUUUAUUCUCGGAAAAAAAACUAACCGAACAAAGGAGAUGAAUCAUCAGACAAAAAGACAACAAUGAACAAUAUGUGAGAAAUGAAUUCAAAGAACAGAACAGAGCAUCCAAUAAUCAAUUCUAAUCGAAAAAAAGUAGUUCUAAUAAAAAAAAAAAAUUGAUUUACAGGAAGAAGAAGAAGAACAUCAGACAAUUCAAGUUAAAAGAAGAAGAAGAAGAAGAAGAUACCUGAGAUCGAAUUCUCGAUGUUUCAAAAGGCAGAUGGAUUUGUCGAUUUACUGAUUCCAGAUUGAAUCUAGGGAUUUAACGAGGCAAAUGAGAAAUAAUCGUUGGCUGAAAAACUCAAGAAACACACACAUAAUUGUAAUGUAUCUUUGGUUUUUCUUCAGGUUUUUUCGGAUAUCAGGUAUUAUCUGAUCGAAACCGAUAUCUGAAGUUGGUCAGACACAAUAUCCAUUGACCAGUCCGACCUCAAUCCGAAUCGUUUUUUUUUUGUCGGUUUCGG